Molecule: long non-coding RNA, 6521 nt
Filed under: Sus scrofa (pig)
Lineage: Eukaryota; Metazoa; Chordata; Mammalia; Artiodactyla; Suidae
Description: lncRNA (ENSSSCG00000052170.1)
Source: RNAcentral
GAGAAGGCUUAGUGGCCAGAGCCUCUCCAAAUUAAAAGGAUAUAAACCAAAAUAAUUUCAGUCCCAAAUGUUUAAUACAUCAUCCCAAAAAAUGGGUGGUAAGUAGAGCAAAAUUAUGAGAAAUAAUAUGUACUUUAUAAUAAGUCACCGUAUUGUAUAACAGAUAGUUUUAUUUUUUAAUGAUUUUUAUUUUUUCCAUUAUAGUUGGUUUAAAGUGUUCUGUCAAUUUCUACUGUACAGCAAAAGUGACCUAGUCUCACACACACACACACACACACACAUACAUACAUUUUCUCACAUUAUCCUCCAUCAUGCUCCAUCACAAGUGACUAGAUAAAGUUCCUAGUGCUAUAUAGCAGGAUCUCAUUGCUUAUCCAUUCCAAUGCAUCUAUUAACCCCAAAUUCCCAGUCCAUCCCACUCCCUCCCCUUUCUCCUUGGCAACCACAACUCUGUUCUCCAAGUCCAUGAGUUUCUUUUCUGUGGAAAGAUUCAUUUGCGCCACAUAUUAGAUUCCAGAUAUUUGAUAUCAUGCGGUAUUUGUCUUUCUCUUUCUUACUUCACUUAGUAUGAGAGUCUCUAAUUCCAUCCAUGUUGCUGCAAAUGGCAUUAUUUUGUUCUUUUUUAUGGCUGAGUAGUAUUCCAUUGCAUAUAUAUACUACAGCUUCUCAAUCCAUUCACCUGUCAAUGGACCUUUAGGUUGUUUCCAUGUUCUGGCUAUUGUGAAUAGUGCUGCAAUGAAAAACGGAUGCAUGUGUCUUUUUCAAGGAAAGUUUUGUCCAAAUUUAUGCCCAAGAGUGGGAUUGCUGGGUCAUAUGGUAGUUUUAUUUUUAGUUUUCUGAGGUACCUCCAUACUUUUUUCCAUGGUGAUUGUACCAAUUUACAUUCCCACCAACAGUGUAAGAGGGUUCCCUUUUCUCCACACCCUCUCCAGCCUUUGUUAUUUGUGGACUUAUUAAUGAUGGCCAUUCUGACUGGUGUAAGGUGGUACCUCAUUGUGGUUUUGAUUUGCAUUUCACUAAUAAUCAGUAAUGUUGAGCAUUUUUUCAUGUGCCUGUUAGCCAUCUGUAUCUUUUGUGGAGAAAUGUCUGUUCAGGUCUCUUGCCCAUUUUUCAAUUGAGGUUUUUGUUUUGUUUUGUUUUUGCUGUUGAGUUGUACGAGUUGUUUGUAUAUUUUAGAGAUUAGGCCCUUGUCAGUUGCAUCAUUUGAAACUAUUUUCUCCCAUUCCAUAGGUUGUCUUUUUUUGUGGUUUUCUUUGCUGUGCAAAAGCUGUAACGUUUGACUAGGUCCCCUUGGUUUAUUUUUGCAUUUAUUUCUUUUUUUUUUUUUUUUUUUUUUUUUGUCUUUUUGCUAUUUCUUGGGCCGCUCCCGCGGCAUAUGGAGGUUCCCAGGCUAGGGGUCGAAUCGGAGCUGUAGCCACUGGCCUACACCAGAGCCACAGCAACGUGGGAUCCGAGCCGCGUCUGCAACCUACACCACAGCUCAUGGCAACGCUGGAUCGUUAACCCACUGAGCAAGGGCAGGGACCGAACCCGCAACCUCAUGGUUCCUAGUCGGAUUCGUUAACCACUGCGCCACCAUGGGAACUCCUGCAUUUAUUUCUAUUGCCCUGGGAGACUAACCUAAGAAAACAUUUGUAAGGUUGAUGUCAGAGAAUGUUUUGCUUAUGUUCUCUUGUAGGAGUUUGAUGGUGUGUUGUCUUACAUUUAAGUCUUUAAGCCAUUUUGAGUUUAUUCUUGUGCAUGGGGUGAGGGUAUGUUCCAGUUUCAUUGAUUUACAUACAGCUGUCCAGUUUCCUCAGCAACACUUGCUGAAGAGACUGUCUUUUUCCCAUUUUAUAUUCUUGCCUCCUUUGUCAAAGAUUAAUGGACCAUAGGUGUCUGGGUUUAUUUCUGGGUUCUCUAUUCUCUUCCAUUGGUCUGUAUGUCUGUUUUGGUAGCAGGACCACACUGUCUUGAUCACCAUGGUUUUGUAACAAUGUCUGAAGUUUGGGAGAGUUAUGCCUCCUGCUUGGUUUUUAUUCCUCAGGAUUGCUUUGGCAAUUCCAGGUCUUUUAUGAUUCCAUAUAAAUUUUUGGAUUGUGUGUUCUAGUUCUAUGGAAAAAAAUGUCAUGGGUAAUUUGACAGGGAUUGCACUGAAUCUGUAGAUUUCUUUGGGUAGUAUGGCCAUUUUUACAACAUUAAUUUUUCCAACUCAGGAGCAUCCUCCAUUUAGUAUUAUAUUGGCUGUGGAUUUGUCAUAAAUGGCUUUGAUUAUGUUAAGAUGUAUUCCAUCUAUACUCACUUUAGUAAGAGUUUCUACCAUGAAUGGAUGUUGGAUUUUUGUCAAAUGCUUUUUCUGCAUCUAUAGAGAUGAUCAGGUGGCUUUUGACUUUUCUUUUGUUAGUGUGGUGUAUGACAUUGAUUUGCAUAUGUUGAACCAUCCUUGUGAACUUGGAAUGACUCCCACUUGGUCAUAUUGUAUGAUCUUUUUUAUGUGUUGUUGGUUGGUUGGCUCAAAUUUUGAGAAUUUUUGUGUCUACAUUCAUGAAAGAUAUUGGCCUAUAAUUUUCUUUUUGGUAGUAUCUUCGUCUGGCUUUGGUAUUAGAGUGAUGGUGGCUUCACAGAAUGUCUUUGGAAGUGUUCCUUCUUCAACCUUUUGGAAGAGUUUAAGAAGGAUGGGUAUAAGUUCUUCUUUGUAUGUUUGGUAGAAUUGGGCUGUGAUGCUAUCUGGUCCUGGACUUGUGUUUGUAGGGAGUGUUUUGAUUAAUAUUAAUAUUAAUAUUAAAUUUCAUUUCUAGUGAUGGGUCUAUUCAAAUUAUCUAUUUUUCUUUCUUGAUUCAGUUUUGGUGGGCUGUGUGUCUCUAGAAAAUUGUUCAUUUCUUCUAGGCUGUCAAAUUUGUUGGCAUAUAAUUGUUCAUAGUAUUCUCUUACAGUUUUUUGUAUUUCUGCAGUAUCCAUUGAGAUUUCUCCUUCUUCAUUUCUUAUUUUAUUUGGCCAUUAGUUGGGUUCUCUCUCUACCCUUCUUGGUGAGUCCAGCCAGAUGUUUUUCAAUUUUGCUUACUCUUAAGAAUAAGCUCCUGGCUUUAUUGAUUUUUUCCCCCUAGUUUCUUAAAUCUCUAUUUCAUUGAUUUUCUCUCUGAUCUUUAUGAUUUCUUUCUUCCUGCUGACUUUAGGUUUUGUUUGCUCUUCUUCUAAUUAUUUUAGGUGGUAGGUUAAGUUGUUUUGAGAUUUUUCUUUUUUGUGAGGAAGGCAUGUAUCACUAUGAACUUCCCUCCUAGAACUGUUUUUGCAGCAUCCUAUAGAUGUUGAAUGGUUGUGUUUUCAUCGUCAUUUGUCUCAAGGUAAUUUCCCUUUUGAUUUCCUCAUUGGCUCACUGGUUUUUAAGUAGCAUGUUGUUUAGUCUCCUUAUAGUCCAUUUUUUCUCAUUUAUUUUACUGUGGUUGAUUUCUGGUUUUAUGCCAUCAUAGUUAGAGAAUAUUCGUUGAGGUUUUGCGCCCCAGUAUGGGCUCAAUCCUUGAGAAUGUUCCAUGUGCACUUGAAAAGAAUGUAUAUGGGGGGGGGGGAUUGGAUGUAAUGUCCUGAAAAUAUCAAUUAAGACUAAUUGUUCUAUUGUGUCAUUUAGGAUCUCUGUUGCCUUACUGAUUUUCUGUCUAGAGUAUCUGUCCAUUGAUGUUUGUGUAGUAUUAAAAAUCUUCUAAUAUUAUUGUAUUUCCAUCCAUUUCUCCUUUUAUGUCUGUUAGUAUUUGUUGUAUGUAUUUGGGUGCUUCUAUAUUAGGGGUAUAUACAGUGGGAUGAGUGUCUUGAACUGAUUUUUUAUCAUUAAUAUCCUUCUUUGUCUUUCUUUAUGGCCUUUGUUUUUAAUGUCUUUGUCAGAUAUGAAUAUUAUAACUCCCACUUUUCUGUCAUUUCCAUUCACAUGAAAUAUUUUUUUCCAUCCCCCCACUUUCAAUUUAUAUGUAUCCUUUGCCCUACGGUGAGUCUCUUGUAGGCAGCAUAUUGCAGGCUCUUUUUUUUUAUCCAGUCUAGCUCUCUAUGUCUUUUGAUUGCAGCAUUCAGUCCAUUGACAUUUAAGGUAAUUAUUGAUAAAUAUGUAUUUUUUGCCAUUUUAAACCGUGUUUUCCAGUUGAUUCUAUGUUUUUUUUUUUUUUUUUUUGGUUGGAUGAUUUAUUUUAUGCUUGUGUCGUCUUUUUAGUUUUUGUGAAUGUAUUUUUUGGUUUUGAUUUGUGGUUUCCCUGUUUCUCAAGUAUGUUAGUUAAUGCAUACCUAUGUCUGCUUGCUUUAGCCUAAUAGUCAUGUAGGCUCAAACACAUUCUAAAAAUAAUAAUAAUCCAGAUUUUCUUACUUUCCCUCCUUUAUGAUUUUGAUAUCCUUUUUUGUUCCUUGUGUUUAUCAUCGCUUUUACAAAUAGUUUUUUUUUCCCUUUAGGUCUGUAUACUGGCUUAUUUAAGUGAUUGCUUUCCAAUUGUGAUUUCCUCCAUCCUAUGUCUUUUUACUUCUUUCCUAUUUAGAGGAGACUUUUCAGUAUUUCUUUUAGAAUGGGUUUGGUAUUGCUGUAUUUUAGUUUUGUUUCUUGGAGAAAUUCUUUAUUUCUCUAUUUUAAAUUAUAUUCUUCCUGGGAAGAAUAGUCUAGGCUGCAAAGUUUUCCCUUUUAGAGUUUUGAGUGUAUCUUGCCACCCUCUUCUGAACAGUAGGGUUUCUGUAGAGAAAUCAGCUGAAAGCCCUAUGGAGGUUUCCUUAUAAUUCUUUCUUUUUAUCUUGCCUUUAGAAGACUCUCCUUAACUUUUGCCAUUUUUAUUAUAUGUCUUGGUGUGGGAUGGUUUGGGUUCAACUCAUUUGGGGCCCUCUGUGCUUCCUUGUUAUCUUUUUCCUUUAGAUUUGGAAUUUUUUUAGCCAUAUUUUCUUCAAAUAUAUUUUAAAUCUCCUUUUCUUUUUCUUUACUUUGUGAAAUCCCUAUUAGGCAAAGACUGGCCUGCUUUAUAUUAUCCCAUAGAUCUCUUAUAUUGCUUUCAUGUUUUUUCACUUGGUUUUCUGUCUGCUGUCCUGAUUGGGUGAGUUCCAUUAUUCUAUCAUUCAAAUCAUUAUUCAUUCCUCUGCAUUAUUCAUUCUGCUCUUCAAGGACUUUACCUCAGCUUGCAUCUCUGCAAAUGAAUUUUCUAAUUUUUCUUGGCUCCUCCUUAUAUUUCUAGUUCCUUUCUAAAGUAAUCUGCAUUACUGUUUAUAUUGCUCUUAAUUUCUUCAGUAUUUUACUAUCUCCUUUUUGAACUCAGUGUCUGUUAGACUGCAGAGGUCUGUUACCUUGUUUGCUCCUUCAGGGGAAUUCUCCUGUUUUUUUUUUAACUGGGAAUGCUUCCUGAGCUUCGUCAUUUUGCUUAUAUUUUUCUCAUUCUGUGAGUAGGGAAAACAACUACUAUAAUCUUGUAGAUUUAUUUAUAUGCAAGAGUGCCCCUGGGUAGUUUAUGAGGGAUGAUGAUGAUGAUGAUGACUUUGGUGUGAGGCCGCUUGCUGUCUCCUUUCCUCAGUCUGUGAAGGCUAUUAUCUAGUAUCCCCUUGAUAGGGGGUGUGCUGGUGUGUGUCCUGAGCUUGCUUCCAGGAAGAUGGAGGCGAUGUACAGGGCCUAUAGCCAGUGCCUGGUAGCUGCACCCUUGACAGUGGUAAGGAACCUCGGGGAGGUGUCACAGGCUGCUCCUGGUUACAGGGCCCUGGGAAGUGGCAGUGACCCUCAGGGAGGUGUAGACAGUGCCCAGAGCCUUUAGCAGAAACAACAGCAGGGAGUGUGUGUUCCCAGGGGAGUGAGGGCAAUGGGUGGUGCUUGGUUGCAGUGCCUUCCUCUGCAGUGAUCCCUGAGGUGGCUGGGGCCACAGGCAGUUCCUGUUCAUGGACCCCUGGUGGUGGCAGGCCACACCUACCUCUGGAGUCUGAGAUAGCUGCAGCAGUUUUCCCCCAUUGCCAGUAGCCUGUGCAAGAGGCGCCCCUCUGCCCAAUAACCCACACAUGUGCAGAGAAAGAUGUUUCUAUGGUGCCCCACCCCUCCUCCUCUUGCCCUCCCAAACAAUGGCACCUUGCUUCUUCCAUGCUCCCUCAUCUGUGGCACUCCACUCUCUGGCCCAUGGUGCACCACUCCUUAGCCCCUCAGGUUGUCUCCACAUAGCUAACCCCAGUUCUCUUCCUGGAACUGACCUCCAAAGCCUUAGUCUCAGUGCCCAGCCCCACCCAAGUGAUGUCUCAGGCUGUGGUAUCUGGGGGCAGUGGUACCAAUGAUCUGUAUGGCUGUCUUUCUGCUUUUCCCUCCUCAGUCCAGCCGGUGCACUUUUCUCCAAGGCUUUGAGAUUCCCCCUCUGUCCUGGCUGAUCUCCCCAUCAGUUAGGUGGCCUCCCAGGGUGCAGGUUCCUUUCCUCUUUCACAGCUCCCUCUCAGGAGUGCUGGUCCCAUCCUGAUUCCUUCUCUCUCUCUCUCUCCUCUUUUUUUCCCUUUUGUUCUAUGCAGUUUUGUGGAGAGUUUCUUGCCCUCUCUGGAGGUUUAAGGUCUUCUGCCAAUGUUCAGUA